RNAcentral lists this ribosomal RNA (775 nucleotides) under uncultured Neocallimastigales. RNAcentral describes it as "partial large subunit ribosomal RNA". It matches the Rfam family "Eukaryotic large subunit ribosomal RNA", at positions 24 to 649 of the family's 3401-position model. The record is from RNAcentral. Lineage: Eukaryota; Fungi; Neocallimastigomycota; Neocallimastigomycetes; Neocallimastigales.
GUAGUCUCGCACAGAUGCAUAUCAAUAAGCGGAGGAAAAGAAACUAACAAGGAUUCCCCUAGUAACGGCGAGUGAAGCGGGAAGAGCUCAAAUUUGAAAUCUUAAAGGGUUUCCCUUUACGAAUUGUAGUUUAAAGAAGUGUUUUCUGUUGAGGUUUUGGUAAAAGUUCUUUGGAAUAGGACAUCAUAGAGGGUGAGAAUCCCGUAUUUGACCUUUACUUUCAACUUUGUGAUACACUUUCAAAGAGUCGGAUUGUUUGGGAAUGCAGUCCAAAAUGGGUGGUAAAUUUCAUCUAAAGCUAAAUAUUGGCGAGAGACCGAUAGCGAACAAGUACCGUGAGGGAAAGAUGAAAAGAACUUUGGAAAGAGAGUUAAACAGUACGUGAAAUUGUCAAAAGGGAAGCGUUUGACACCAGUGUUGUUUUUCUGAAAAUCAAUUAAAGAACUGUUUAUGCUAAGUUGUUUAGACUUUAUCAGCUAUACUGUUUAGUUUUGAGCUUUUCUUUAAUGCACUUUUCAGUUAACAAGUCAACAUCAAUUUCUUUUGCUGUAAAAAAGCUUGAGGAAGGUGGCUUGAGAUUCGUCUUAAGUGUUUAUAGCCUCUUGCCUAUGCAGUCGGAGAGAUUGAGGUCUGCAGCGUAGAUCCUUCGGGGCUAAAUGCAUUUGUGCUAAGUUAUAGCAUUUUAUAGACAACUUGUUGACUAUGAUUUGUCUUGUAGCUUACUCGCUUAUGUUAUUUUACCUACGCUUAGGAUGUUGAGUAGCGACAUACGCAC